Manihot esculenta (cassava) is the source of this 295-nucleotide long non-coding RNA. RefSeq lists it as uncharacterized. The transcript has 3 exons. The record is from RefSeq and is a predicted model, not a curated record. NCBI's taxonomy places the organism in Eukaryota, Viridiplantae, Streptophyta, Magnoliopsida, Malpighiales, Euphorbiaceae.
GAAAAUGCUAAAUUCAGACCCCAAACAGAGGCUGACAGCCAUUCAGGUUCUAAGUCAUCCAUGGAUCAAAGAGGAUGGAGAAGCUCCUGAUACUCCUCUUGACAAUGCAGUAUUGAGUAGGCUCAAGCAAUUCAAAGCAAUGAAUAAUUUCAAGAAAGUUGCUCUAAGGGUCAUUGCUGGCUGUCUAUCUGAGGAAGAAAUUAUGGGAUUGAAGGAGAUGUUCAGGGGAAUGGACACUGACAACAGUGGCACUAUAACACUUGAAGAGCUGAAGCAAGGACUUGCCAAGCAAGGG